This 1115-nucleotide unclassified non-coding RNA is filed under the name Rhagoletis pomonella (apple maggot). Its description in RNAcentral is "uncharacterized LOC118752085, transcript variant X1". The record is from RNAcentral. Lineage: Eukaryota; Metazoa; Arthropoda; Insecta; Diptera; Tephritidae.
CAAAUUCCUCCAACAGUUUUCUUAAUACCCAAAAAUAUUGCUUAAACGAACUUGUAGCUAUAAGCUGUGAUGGUACAGCUGUCAAUACUGGAUAUAAAAUUGGAGUAAAUGCACAAAUGGAACGUUAUUUACAAAGGCCCUUGCAGUGGAAUGUGUGUUUGUUACAUUUCAACGAGUUGCCUCUAAAAAAGUUGUUAACGCAUUAUAUUGGCAAGCAGAAAGGACCUGGUGUUUGGCCAGGGGUGUUGGGGUCUGAAAUUAUGACUUGCACCAAAUACCCGGUUGUAAGUGGUUUUGAGGCUAUUGCUAUGGGAGUUAUUCCUGAAAAUAUUGGCUCUUGGGAAUUACGCAAUGAUCAGCGUUAUUUAUUUGAUAUGGUUUUGGCAGUAAAUAAUGGUGAAUGCGAUGAAUAUCUCGCUAGUAAGAGCCCCGGUCCCGUCAGUACAGCUCGGUGGCUUACAACAGCUUCCAGGUUACUUCGGGUAUAUGUUUCCAAAGAAAGCCCGUCAGCGGAGUUGCGAAACAUGGUAGAGUUUGUUGUGAAAGUUUAUGCACCAUUCUGGUUUCUUGUAAAGAGCCAGCCACAAGCAAUUCAUGGAAGUAGACACGUUUUUAAGUAUAUUUGCUGGAUACGCGAACUAUCAAAUGCUGUUCAAGCCAUUAUACGUUCAGCUAUAGAAAAUAAUGCAUAUUAUUUUCACCCAGAAAAUAUAUUAUUAGCCAUGAUAACCGACGCUGAUCCAGAGAUACGUAAUGAUGGGUACGAAAAAAUCAAAACAGCACGUCAAUAUCCACCAGCAGGGCUUCGCGUGUUCAAGGUCCCAAAGCGUGGCGUAAUAAACUUUGAAAGUAAGUCGUAUGUCAGCAUGAUCGAUUGGAGUCAGUUUAAGAUUACGGAACCCCCCUUGUGUGCAGUUCUACCCAGAUAGUGAACUUACAAUGUUUCAAUUUUCGGAAAAUGAAGUGAUAAAUAUCCCAGAGUUCCUCUGUCAUUCCCAGAAUACCGAACGGUUUGUGCGUGUUGUUAGUGAGUCUGCAAGUGCUGUCACUGAUGAAAAGCGCCUGGGCCACAUUUUUGCAAAAUUAGAAAGCCGAGACCAAUAUAAAAGCCUUGA